UAAAUGCAAACUCCCUGUUUAACAGGAAAGAUUGGGAGCUGCUGGCCCUCUCCUGCUUGCGCUCUCCGUUGCGUAAAGAAACUGCCUAGUAGGAAAGGCCUGAUGCUUGGGUUACCUGGCUUGGCAUGAAACAGCAGUGAUCUUACCACAGCUUUGCUCUCACAAGAUACCUUCUUCAUGAGUUUAAGGUAAAUCCUCUGCAGAAAUUACAAAGUUUCCCUCUCUGAGGAUGCGUAAAGAAUAUCGUUUGGGCCGAGGAGAUGGAAGGAUUUCAUGUGAUGGGAGGAGAAAACACCCUUGAAACAAAGGGACUCUUCUGAAGCAAAGCUGGAGAAGCCCCCAUGCUUCCCCUCCCUCCCCUGGCAAAGGUACCAGCAGGCCACCAUUGUCCUCACUGUGAAAUUGCCUUUGGCUGCUGUGGAAAUGAGCAUGGUGCUGCUGACACGUCGAUUUUACUUCAGGUGGGAAGCGAGCAGCAGGUGAAUCCUGCAGAUAAAGAUCCGGACUUUAGGCAAAUGUGCCCUGCGCUGAAAAGCCGAGGAAGUAAAGAUCAGAAAAUGACCCAUACUGUGGACAGGUGGAGAGUUUGUAGGCAUGCUCGGUUUGCUGGAGUCAGACUGAUUCCUCCCUUGAUGCCACUUUCUUCUUUCCAUCCUGUGAAUGUUUUGAGAAAAGCUGUGAUUGCAGCAUUGCUGUGCAGACGGCUUAACGUGGGCUGUUGUUCUGAAGCACAGCUGU
This is a non-coding RNA of Phalacrocorax carbo (great cormorant), 738 nucleotides long. The record is from RefSeq and is a predicted model, not a curated record. Lineage: Eukaryota; Metazoa; Chordata; Aves; Suliformes; Phalacrocoracidae.